This is a long non-coding RNA of Peromyscus eremicus (cactus mouse), 405 nucleotides long. RefSeq lists it as uncharacterized. Lineage: Eukaryota; Metazoa; Chordata; Mammalia; Rodentia; Cricetidae. The record is from RefSeq and is a predicted model, not a curated record. The transcript has 3 exons.
UUGAUGUUACCACUGUUGAGGAAAUACCAACUGCCAUUUAGGGCAUUUUUACUGUGCCUCUGGGAUUCACAAAGACAAGUUGGUGAGACUGAGAAAGCUACUUGGGAGAGAGAAUGGACAGCCCAGAGAAGAGAGAGAGGCAGAAGGAAGCUGGCCAUCUGUCUCAGGUUUUGCAGAAGAAUAGCAUCUAAUGAGAAAUAGCUGCUCCUGGUUGUAGACGAGGUACUGUGGAUAUCCAUGGUGAUUGGAGGUCUGCUAGCCUCCUCCAGGCUCAUGAGAUCUGUUCCAAGGCAUGGUGUUGAUGGGAUACUGUCUCCUGUAAAGACAGAAGAGGAGAGUGGUGGUCAGAGCAUCAGAGCACUCCAAUUAUCACAGCACACCUAGACAAGGAUGAAAUUGUGGAUU